UCCGUAGGUGAACCUGCGGAAGGAUCCCUA
RNAcentral lists this ribosomal RNA (30 nucleotides) under uncultured Tulasnellaceae. Its description in RNAcentral is "partial 18S ribosomal RNA". Lineage: Eukaryota; Fungi; Basidiomycota; Agaricomycetes; Cantharellales; Tulasnellaceae. The record is from RNAcentral.